Lonchura striata (white-rumped munia) is the source of this 1145-nucleotide long non-coding RNA. RefSeq lists it as uncharacterized. The record is from RefSeq and is a predicted model, not a curated record. NCBI's taxonomy places the organism in Eukaryota, Metazoa, Chordata, Aves, Passeriformes, Estrildidae.
UUGCCUUUUCUUCCAGCUAGAACAGCACUAUUUAUUUUGAAAUAUUCAUGUAUGUGUUUACAACUAAUUUAUUCUGACAAAUGGAUUUGUCAACCCCAUGAGAGGGUUUUCCUCACAUGUGUAACACUUGAAACUGCUCAAAAAUUAAGGCAGCUCCUAAAUUCCACUGAGGGUAAUAUCCAGGUAAUAAAGGAAGCUCCCAGGCCUAAUGAGCUAUUUCCUAGCAAAGAUUUAAACAAAGUAAAAGACAUUUUCUUGCUCCACACUACAGGAAAUUCUGAUUUUUGCCUUGUGCUGUAAUUUUUUCAGCCUAUUAGAAAAACAGAUGUCGGUAAACACAAAAUACAACCCUAAAAAUAUAUUUUUUUAAAGAACCUCAUUAUCAAAUUAAGGACUUGUUUCAUAGGAGCUCACUGAUUAGUUACUACUUUCUAGUAGAAUGUUUUCUGACUGGGUCUUAAAAAAUUACAAAACUAAUUCUGAUUAAAAGCAAGAUAUAAUGCAAGUCAUAGGAGUUGUUUUAAAUUUUAUUUUCAGUACCUUUACGCGAACUUCAUGUUCUUUUGGUGGGGCAACUUCCACUUCCUCAAUACUGAAUGGUUUAUUGGCUUCCCACAGCACUGCUGCCUUGCAUUUAAUAACCUGCAAACAGAGCAAAGAAAAUGAGAAUGGCAUUUCAUUUUCAAGUCACCACACAGAUUCUUCCCUUUUUGCAUGUGAAACUCCUGCUCAUAUCUGUGGAGAUGAGAGGGAAACUACAGGAAAGAAAACCAAACCAAACAACAACAAAGUCAACACCAAAGACAGAGCAUGUUUGGAUGAAUCAUUGGCUUCUCCCAAAGGAACAGCCCCUUUCCUUUGUGGCAGGAUACUGAAGAAGGCCUCCUUCCAGUCUCUCUUCUCCAGCAUCUUCAGAGCAGAGCUGAUGGAAUGCAGGCAUGAAUAGACACUGCAAUUCUGCUACUCCUGCAGCCUGAAGCCAAGCACAUCCCGAGUCUCCAGCUGCAUGACAGUAUUUCUCUCAGGGACUGAGACAAAUACUUCAGUCUCAGCAGUGCCUUCUGUACAGGCACCAAUGCUUUCUCAUGUUUGACAGGAAUCCUGCUGUGGAUGUACUUUAAUAAAUAUUUUGACCCCUCCUAUAA